GACGAACGCUGGCGGCGUGCUUAGCACAUGCAAGUCGAACGGAAAGGCCCUGCUUUUGUGGGGUGCUCGAGUGGCGAACGGGUGAGUAACACGUGAGUAACCUGCCCUUGACUUUGAGAUAACUUCAGGAAACUGGGGCUAAUACCGGAUAGGAGCUCCUGCUGCAUGGUGGGGGUUGGAAAGUUUCGGCGGUUGGGGAUGGACUCGCGGCUUAUCAGCUUGUUGGUGGGGUAGUGGCUUACCAAGGCUUUGACGGGUAGCCGGCCUGAGAGGGUGACCGGCCACAUUGGGACUGAGAUACGGCCCAGACUCCUACGGGAGGCAGCAGUGGGGAAUAUUGCACAAUGGGCGGAAGCCUGAUGCAGCAACGCUGCGUGCGGGAUGACGGCCUUCGGGUUGUAAACCGCUUUCGCCUGUGACGAAGCGUGAGUGACGGUAAUGGGUAAAGAAGCACCGGCUAACUACGUG
Molecule: ribosomal RNA, 468 nt
Filed under: uncultured bacterium
Lineage: Bacteria
Description: partial 16S ribosomal RNA
Rfam family: Bacterial small subunit ribosomal RNA
Source: RNAcentral